UUCAAUCUGUUGAGGGCAGAUAAAAUGAAUGUGGGUAUCGAUACCCCCCGCCGUCAAAAUCGACCCCUCCCCGGCGAUAAUUUCGGUGCCUGGGCCGAUAAUUAUAUCGACGUUAUCUUGAAUAUAAGGAUUUCCGGCUUUGCCGACUUUGUAAAUCUUGCCAUCCUUAAUGCCGACAUCAGCUUUGACGAUGCCCCACCAAUCCAGAAUCACGGCAUUGGUAAUCACCAAAUCUACUGCACCAUCAGCAUUAGAAAUCGGCGAUUGUCCCAUUCCAUCCCGAA
Molecule: small RNA, 284 nt
Filed under: Chamaesiphon minutus PCC 6605
Lineage: Bacteria; Bacillati; Cyanobacteriota; Cyanophyceae; Gomontiellales; Chamaesiphonaceae
Description: 5' ureB small RNA
Rfam family: 5' ureB small RNA
Source: Rfam by way of RNAcentral